GUAGGUGGCAAGCGUUGUCCGGAAUUAUUGGGCGUAAAGCGCGCGCAGGUGGUUCUUUAAGUCUGAUGUGAAAGCCCCCGGCUCAACCGGGGAGGGUCAUUGGAAACUGGGGAACUUGAGUGCAGGAGAGGAAAGUGGAAUUCCACGUGUAGCGGUGAAAUGCGUAGAUAUGUGGAGGAACACCAGUGGCGAAGGCGACUUUCUGGCCUGUAUCUGACACUGAGGCGCGAAAGCGUGGGGAGCAAACAGGGAUUAGAUACCCUGGUAGUCCACGCCGUAAACGAUGAGUGCUAAGCGUUGGGGGGGUUUCCGCCCCCUCAGUGCUGCAGCUAACGCAUUAAGCACUCCGCCUGGGAGUACGGUCGCAAGACUG
This 373-nucleotide ribosomal RNA is filed under the name uncultured organism. RNAcentral describes it as "partial 16S ribosomal RNA". It matches the Rfam family "Bacterial small subunit ribosomal RNA", at positions 527 to 896 of the family's 1533-position model. The record is from RNAcentral.